CUACUUUUUAUAAGAGGGAACAUUAUUUAAAGAAUAUGUAUUUAAUUGGAAAACUCUCUAUUCGUCUAAAGGCUAUAACAAGAAAGGGGGUGUUUUCAGAGGUGGUAGGUGGUAAAAGAAGAGGUCAGCAGGAAGAUGGCGAAGAGUGACCAAAGACCAAGAAAAAGAGGCAGUCAGGGAAAGAUGAAGAGUAUUAUAUCCCUUACAGACCUAAAGACUUUGACUCUGAGAGAGGGUUGAGUCUCGGUGGAGAGGGCAGUGCUUUUGAACAGCAGGCCUCUUCAGCUGUCCUUGAUCUCAUGGGAGAUGAAGGCGAUCGCCUUAACCAGCAGAAGAAAAUGAUGAAAUGGGACCGUAAGAGGAAGCGUUUUGUGAGAGAAACGGGAAAAGAAGACCAGAAGAAGAAGAUCAAAACAGACAGCGGUCAGGUUAUCAGUAACAAGAAGAACAGGAAGAACUUUUAUGAGGAGUGAAGGAAAAAAUACAAGAUUGAUGAUACAGGAUCUGGAUCAGAUGGAGAAACAGGCGGAGGAGGCAGGAAGCCAGCAAGAGGUCGUGGCCGUGGCCGACGAGGUCCAAACGUACAGAGCUCCGGUGACCACAAAGCACGCUCGGAGCUGAAAACAAAGGAUCAGAUCAUGAAGCAGCGC
Non-coding RNA from Maylandia zebra (zebra mbuna), 650 nucleotides. The record is from RefSeq and is a predicted model, not a curated record. NCBI's taxonomy places the organism in Eukaryota, Metazoa, Chordata, Actinopteri, Cichliformes, Cichlidae.